GCAAGUCGCACGAGAACGCUUCAGCUUGCUGAAGUAAGUAAAGUGGCGCACGGGUGAGUAACUCGUGGGUAAUCUACCCUUGAAUUGGGGAUAACCCGCCGUAAGGCGGGCUAAUACCGAAUGACAUCUUGAAAACUUAUGUUUUCAGGAUCAAAGGUGGCCUUUACAUGUAUGUAUUGUUUGGGGAUGAGCCCGCGUACCAUUAGCUUGUUGGUAGGGUAAUGGCCUACCAAGGCGACGAUGGUUAGCUGGUCUGAGAGGAUGAUC
This 267-nucleotide ribosomal RNA is filed under the name uncultured bacterium. Its description in RNAcentral is "partial 16S ribosomal RNA". It matches the Rfam family "Bacterial small subunit ribosomal RNA", at positions 57 to 305 of the family's 1533-position model. The record is from RNAcentral.